Molecule: non-coding RNA, 3593 nt
Organism: Chrysemys picta bellii (western painted turtle)
Lineage: Eukaryota; Metazoa; Chordata; Testudines; Emydidae
Source: RefSeq, a predicted model, not a curated record
UUUACAAUAGUUAGCUAAUGGUACAAACAACAUUUGGAAAAAUAUUAAGUGGUCCACCGAGACCCUCAACAAUUUUCAAGUAGUCCACGAAAAAAAAAGUUUGAGAACCACUGUUCUAAACAGCAUAGGGAACAUUUUCCUAAUCAUCCUUCAGAAAGGCUGGCACACCAGCCAUCUAAUAAGGUUAACAAACCUCUCCUGCAAGUUGGAAAUUUUUUACUUCUUAAAUAUUUGCAGAUAAAAUGAAGAAGACUCACUGUAGCUAGGAGGGGUGGGGGACAAUGGACGGCUGGCCUAGAUGCCAUGAGUGCUGCAAGAUGCUGAGGUAAUAUCAUUUAUUGGAACAACUUCUGUUGGCAAAAGAGAUGAGCUUUUGAGCUAUACAGAGCUGAAGAAGAGCUCACCUACAGAAGUUGGCCCAAUAAAAAUUACCUCAUUCACCUUGUCUGUCUGACAUCCUGGGACCAGCAUGGUAUAACCACACUAGAUGAAAUGCCACCAUAAGCAUCAGGCCUGAAAUACAGCCCAAUUCUGGAAGGUGUUGAACACUUUGCCAGCUGCCUAGUAUCCCAAACUCCCAGGAUGAAAUCCUGGCCCUAUUGAAGUCAAUAGUAGUUUUCAAUAGGGCCAGGAUUUCACUUCCCAUGACUUAAAGUGAAGUCAGUGGGAACUUAGGAUUGUCUAUGCAUUGUGGGUCAGGCCAUUAGACUGCUUGGAAAUGCAUGUUCCAAUCCUCCCCAGCUUUUUUGGCCCCUUCUCUGUUAGAUACAUUAAGCUUUGGGUAGAUUAUUGUGUAUGUACCUUUCCAAAAAGACCUUAAAAACCAUAGUCUUUACUGUGUGGACAUUAAAGAUUUCAAAGCAUUCUCUGUAAGAGUUAGGGUCCACUCUCUGGUUAUCCUUUGCCAAUAUGUUAUUUUCUCCACCAUGCUGUUGCUCCGAGAGUCAAUUCUCUAGCUGGCUACUACCCUGCAUCCACGUCAGAAGUGACUGCAGUUCAGUGGUGAGUAAAGUGAUUCCUGCAUAUGAAGGGCCCAAUCCUGUAAUCCUCAUCCUAUAGUCCUUUGGGAGCCCAAUUUACCUCUUCUGCGAAUAAGGACCAUUGAUUGGGCUGAGAUGCAUGGGGGUGACAAAGCCUACAAUACAAACAUUGAAGAUUAACAGCCACAUUUUCAAAGGUGGCCUCUUUUUGGGUUCUCAACUUGAGACGCCCCAGGCCUGAUUUUCUGAGGUGCUGAAUACCUGCAAUGCCACUUGAAGUCAACAGGAACUGCAGUUGCUUGAAACUACAAUUGGCAGGAAAAUGUUGGAUUCCAAAGUUUUUCAGUGAAAAACACAGACCUUUUUUGCAAAAUGUUUUGCACUUUCCUCAUUUUCGUUUAGUUCUACUCAAACCCUCUGAAAAUCAGGUCAAAAGUGGCUCAAAUUGUGCUCCCCAAAUCUUGAGGCAUCCUAAUUCAAAGAGUACUUUUGAAAAUUUUGGCCAUAAUACUUUCCUAAGAUGAACAACUUCAAAACACUUUUCUUAACAUCACAUGUAUCCAUGGUCGUGUUGUUAUUCAUAAAUUGUAUUCCAGUAGCACUGAGGUUCCAACCAAGCCUGGGGCCCAGGCACAGUAGAAGCAGAGUAGGAGAUGAUGUAUUAUCCUUUGUAAUCACAAAACAAAGUCAACAGUGAUGUCCCUUUAAGCAUACUUGGGACAAAGGUUAAGUCCUAUCAAACUACUUUGCUGUUUGAAUUUGUUUAUUUAAAUAAAGUUUGCUUUUGGACAUCUAUUAUUUCUAAAAGGGGUUAAAACAUUGGGAAAAGUGUAAAUGGUCAUUGCUUCAACAACACAGCAACAUGUUUGCUAUGGAAAACAUAAAAUGACAGGAAAUGGCUUAACGGGGGAGGUGUUCAAUUUUAAGGCUUCUGUUGACAGAAGUUGAUGAGUGAAAAUACUGCAUUCAAUAAGGAGCGUAGAAUUUUGAUGCAGCCUAGAGGGACAGCUUUGUUCUAUGGUGGUCUAAAUUGGGAUUUUACAUUAAUGUAACCAAUCAGAACCCUUGUUAAAGCUAGAGUCAAAAGGGAAGACUGAGCAAAAGCACCACAAAGUUUAUCUUUUGCUCAUCUGGAAGAGUUUAUUUUAAAAACAGAACAUUGUUUGCUGCUGUUGAAAUGAAAGUGUGAGAGUUGCAGCUUUCUUCUGAUGCCAUCUGGCAGAUGAUUUAAUGGUGUGUGGUAUUCACUAAUCCAAAUAACCCUGUGUGUGGUAACCAUUGUCUCUUUACUGAUCGUGCAGCUGGGUUGAUUGAACUCUAGAGGGCUCAUGCAAGACUAUCAAUGGUGGGACUGUAGAUAAUUUAAAAUGACCACAGUAUUAAAGAAAUGUAUAUGAUACAAAACAUGCCUACCAAAUCCAUGGUGUUUUUAUUAAGAAUCCUCCCUUUUAUUGACCCUAAUUCAGAUUGUUGUAUGCAGUGCAGUUGUAGCCGUGUUGGUCCCAGGAUAUUAAUAAAAAAUAUUACCUCACCCACCUUGUCUGUCUCAUGUCAGAUCAACAUUUGGCUUAAGUCUGUGGUCUUGAUUCACCACGUUAACUCUAGUUCUAUGCAGGUUACUUCAUUGAAAUCAAUACCAAUACCAGCAUAACCUUGGAAUAACAGAAUCGUGUAUGGGACUUAGUGCUGACCAUUCAAAAGGCUUUCUCCUUUAGAUUUGUUUAACGUUUUUGUUAAUUAUAUAGUUGAAUUUCUAACGGUUGUCCUUUUUGUGAGUUAUUUCUUUUCAAUUUUAAGGCCAGUUUAAAAUUCAUGAAAGCACCACAUUCUUUGAUUAACCCUGGAAAUAAAAGUCGUGCAUAGAAUUAUAUUAUUAUAAGGACAGGAAAGGAGUUACAGAUAUAUAUAAAUGCACUGGAAAGAACAUGGUACAACUGAAUCCAAGAAUGCAAAAGAGAAGGUGUCAAAAAAAUACACAUGAGAGGGUCUCAGCUACAUGUCAUGGAAUAGAAUUCAGAGAUUCUUCAGAAUAAAUAUUUGGGGCUGGAUUUGUCUCCCACCAAUUCUCCAGUGGUGAAACUUCACUGACUUCAGAGCAAUUUCUCCUGAUUGAGUCUGUAAGUGGUUAGAGUAUCAGAACCAUUAUUAUCAACAUACCAUUAUUUCUGUGUAUUUCCAUUUCCGAAUUAAGGCCCUGCUUUUGGAAUUGGAUCCACUAGCACGGACCUCAGGAUGAUAGAAUUACACAGUUUCUCUUUUCUCUUUUAAGUCCAGGAGGUACCGUUAUAUCAUCUAGACUGACUUCCUGAAUAACACAGGCAAAAUAAUUUCACCCAGUUACCCUUCUGUUGAGCCCAAUAACUUGUGUUUGGCUAAAGCACAUCUUCUAGCAAGCAUCCAAUUUAGAUCUGAAGACAUCAAGAGAUGGAGAAUCCACCCCCUUCCCUUGUUCCAAUGCAAUUCAGAUUCUACCUAGGCUGGAAGAUUCUAUGAUGACUGGAGAACUUCUGAAAUGGUGAAAUCACAAGCGAGCUGUAAAGAGGGUACAGAAUUAGAAUCAUUUUGAAUUUUAAUCCUAUCCUCCAAAGCACUUGCAACCUCUGCCAGCUUGGU